This 254-nucleotide ribosomal RNA is filed under the name uncultured bacterium. RNAcentral describes it as "partial 16S ribosomal RNA". It matches the Rfam family "Bacterial small subunit ribosomal RNA", at positions 524 to 776 of the family's 1533-position model. The record is from RNAcentral.
UACGGGGGGCGCAAGCGUUGUUCGGAUUUACUGGGCGUAAAGGGCGCGUAGGCGGCCACCGCAAGUCAAUUGUGAAAUCUCCGGGCUUAACUCGGAAAGGUCAACUGAUACUGCGGGGCUAGAGUGCGGAAGGGGCAACUGGAAUUCUCGGUGUAGCGGUGAAAUGCGUAGAUAUCGAGAGGAACACCUGCGGCUAAGGCGGGUUGCUGGGCCGACACUGACGCUGAUGCGCGAAAGCCAGGGGAGCGAACGGG